UUAUGGCUCAGUGGUAGAGCGCCUGCUUAGCAUGCAUGAGGCACUGGGUUCGAUCCCCAGCAUCACAU
Molecule: transfer RNA, 68 nt
Filed under: Ictidomys tridecemlineatus (thirteen-lined ground squirrel)
Lineage: Eukaryota; Metazoa; Chordata; Mammalia; Rodentia; Sciuridae
Description: tRNA-Ala (AGC) (tRNA-Ala-AGC-37-1)
Rfam family: tRNA (bases 4-60)
About the family: Transfer RNA (tRNA) molecules are approximately 80 nucleotides in length. Their secondary structure includes four short double-helical elements and three loops (D, anti-codon, and T loops). Further hydrogen bonds mediate the characteristic L-shaped molecular structure. tRNAs have two regions of fundamental functional importance: the anti-codon, which is responsible for specific mRNA codon recognition, and the 3' end, to which the tRNAs corresponding amino acid is attached (by aminoacyl-tRNA synthetases). tRNAs cope with the degeneracy of the genetic code in two manners: having more than one tRNA (with a specific anti-codon) for a particular amino acid; and 'wobble' base-pairing, i.e. permitting non-standard base-pairing at the 3rd anti-codon position.
Source: RNAcentral